This 119-nucleotide ribosomal RNA is filed under the name Pteropus alecto (black flying fox). The record is from RNAcentral. Lineage: Eukaryota; Metazoa; Chordata; Mammalia; Chiroptera; Pteropodidae. RNAcentral also lists the same sequence under 1 other name.
GUCUAUGGCAAUGUCACCUUGAAUGUGCCUAAUCUCGUCUGAUCUCGGAAGCUAAGCAGGGUCGGGCCUGGUUAGUACUUGGAUGGGAGACCACCUAGGAAUACCAGGUGCUGUAGGUG